UGAGAAUAGGUCUUUUGUGUCAUUUAGGACUUUAUGCAAAAUUUGAUGUCAUCCCCAGUUGAAAUGUUUGAAUUGAUGUUCGGCAUGAGUUAUGGAAGUUAGAAGUUCAUUAGUUUCUUAGGCUUGAAUUGAGGUGGAAUUCGUUAUUUUGAUAUUGUUAUGCAUGACUCGAGGCCCCCAAUAGGUCCUAAUUAUAUUUGGGGAUUGGUUGGUGUGUUUGGACGGUUCCCUAGGGUCUCAGGUGUGUUUUUGAUGGAUUUUAGAUUAUGUUACAUUGAGUUGACAUUCUUAUAGUUGUUGAUUUACGUUGUUUUUGCAUCUGCGGAAUAUCAGUCAGAUAUGCGAGCUUGGAGAUGAAGAAGCGAAGGUAGGCUGGAGGAUACAGGGACCGCGGAUGCGGAAGUUGGGAUGCAGAUGCAGAGGAGGGACCGCAGAUGUGGGAGGUGCUGCGCCCCCUUUUACCUUCCGUAGAAUCAGGUUUAUGAUAUUUUAGUUGGGACAACACUUUCCUUUUGAGAAAAGGGUUUGUAAUUUUGAAGAGUCGCCACCUAAGGAUUUUAGGUACGUUAGGGCACCUAUAGGGUUCUCUUAUAACUGUGUUUGGUAACCGGAGAUAGGGUAAGGGUUUGAAAUUAUCCUAAGGGGAAGAUGUUAGGCACCCCUCAGGAUCCACUAGUGUGGUUCCUGGUCAGACGAUUUUUGUGAAUUUGUGCAAUUAGCAAACAAACAAGUAUGGCUUAAAUAGUAGGGGAUUUAAGUUUAAAUAUACAAGUGUUUGAAAAUAAUUAGUGAAAGGCAAAAUUUUAAAAAGAAUUACAAUCUAAAGCAUGCUUAUGAGUUUAAAUGGGGUGUCCUGGGUUUGUUUAUAAUAUUGGUCACAUCAAUAGAAUACCCAAUAUGACACUCCUCAAAGAGGGGUUAUACGUGGUAUUAACGCACCGGUCAUCAUAUCCAUAUCUACCCUUUC
Molecule: long non-coding RNA, 967 nt
Filed under: Nicotiana benthamiana
Lineage: Eukaryota; Viridiplantae; Streptophyta; Magnoliopsida; Solanales; Solanaceae
Description: long non-coding RNA (NBEN_LNC031706)
Source: RNAcentral